AUUGAACGCUGGCGGCAGGCCUAACACAUGCAAGUCGAACGAGUUGCGGACGGGUGAGUAAUGUCUGGGAAACUGCCCGAUGGCGGGGGCUAACUACUGGAAACGGUAGCUAAUACCGCAUACCAUCGGAUGUUCCCAGAUGGGAUUAGCUAGUAGGUGGGGUAACGGCUCACCUAGGCGACGAUCCCUAGCUGGUCUGAGAGGAUGACCAGCAACACUGGAACUGAGACACGGUCCAGACGCCUAUGGGAGGCAGCAGUGGGGAAUAUUGCAGAAUGGGCGCAAGCCGGAUGCAGCCAUGCCGCGUGUAUGAAGAAGGCAUUCGGGUUGUAAAGUAAUUUCAGCGAGGAGGCGUUACUCGCAGAAGAAGCACCGGCUAACUCCGUGCCAGCAGCCGCGGGAAUUC
Molecule: ribosomal RNA, 406 nt
Filed under: uncultured bacterium
Lineage: Bacteria
Description: partial 16S ribosomal RNA
Rfam family: Bacterial small subunit ribosomal RNA
Source: RNAcentral